Dermacentor silvarum is the source of this 1101-nucleotide long non-coding RNA. RefSeq lists it as uncharacterized. The record is from RefSeq and is a predicted model, not a curated record. NCBI's taxonomy places the organism in Eukaryota, Metazoa, Arthropoda, Arachnida, Ixodida, Ixodidae. The transcript is spliced from 3 exons.
UAGGAACCUACCUACCUACCGCAAAGUGCCAAGAAUGAGGCAUUAAAAAGUUCGACUUUUGUUAUUUCAAAUUAUCUUUGUAAGGUGGCGCUAGUAUUAUGGUAGCAGCCGCAUUUUGUAUUUUCUUAGUUAAAUUAGCUAGCAUUUCUGUGCUUCAGGUACCGAGUACGAAGCCACACUGAGUAUUUUUCUGCAUUGCAGCAGCGUGUGUCGCAAGAGGAUGCAGCGCCGUGACGUGUCAUAGCGGCUACCUGACAAAGCGAGGAGUGGCGCGACGGCUCAUCGGCGUCAUCGCUUGCGCCGACGCAGUCUGAGCAGCCAAGCGGACUGCGCUCUCCGCGCAGCUUCCCUCCAGAUUGCGUAACUUUUGAACCCGCCGUUACAUUGACCGUUAUUUUUGUCAGGACCAGCCGUUAAGUUCCUCACGCGUAUUCGUUCAUGAACUGCGGAGCGCCAGACUGCCUUCCACAUCUUCUUUGCUCACGCACAUACCUACGUGCAAGAGAGAAGGCGCGUGAGGGUGAAGACACCGAUCAUGUACCCUCUACAGGUGCCAAAUGGGCAGACGAAAACGCCGCCGCCCAAAGGGCCACCACGAAACUCCUGAACUCCAAGAACCCAGUAAGAAGACCUGCUGAAUUAAGGAGCUACAGCCCAGCAGCCUGUUCGAAACCAGGUUUAUCAAGGUCGAUACCUGUAAUGGACGUUACCCGGAGGCACUCAUAUUUAAUGUUGAUUGCUAGCUUGUCUAGUCGUGUUUACUUUUUGCAAUAAAAAAUGUUAUUGCUGUAUGUGUUUCGUGUAUUGCACAAGCGCAAACCUGCAUGCCGCCGGCCGGCGAAACGCCGCAGGGGCAUGGGGAGAGGGAAGGAAAGGGAGACGAGGGGGGCGCUAGAGGGGAGGGUGAAAAAAAACGGAUGUCAAAAUCCUGAUUGUAGCAGGAUUCAAUCUGUAUUUUUUAAAUGCUUCUAAUGGUCUUACAAAAUCCCAUUUCAAGACAGGAUUUUUCGAAACUACUUUAAGCAGGAUUCUAGAACUUCUUGCAAUAGUCAUAUCCGCCGGACAUUAGCAACGAUAUACGACCGUUUAUCACCUUCUAAA